CAUGAAUUGGGCUAACGAAGAUCUUUUGGCACCUCUAAAAAGGGUGCAGAAUAAGGGGUGGGCAAGUCUGGUGUCCACAGCCGCGGUAAUACCAGCACCCCGAGUGGUCGGGACGAUUAUUGGGCCUAAAGCAUCCGUAGCCGGUUCUGCAAGUCUUCCGUUAAAUCCAGCUGCUUAACAGAUGGGCUGCGGAGGAUACUACAGAACUAGGAGGCANRGAGAGGCAAGUGGUACUCAUNUGGGUAGGGGUAAGAAUCNUUUGAUCGCCUGAUGAG
Molecule: ribosomal RNA, 275 nt
Filed under: uncultured archaeon
Lineage: Archaea
Description: partial 16S ribosomal RNA
Rfam family: Archaeal small subunit ribosomal RNA
Source: RNAcentral